RNAcentral lists this ribosomal RNA (253 nucleotides) under uncultured bacterium. RNAcentral describes it as "partial 16S ribosomal RNA". It matches the Rfam family "Bacterial small subunit ribosomal RNA", at positions 524 to 776 of the family's 1533-position model. The record is from RNAcentral.
UACGUAGGGGGCAAGCGUUGUCCGGAUUUAUUGGGCGUAAAGAGCUCGUAGGCGGCUGUUCAAGUCGAACGUGAAAACUCGGAGCUCAACUCCGAGCCUGCGUUCGAUACUGGACGGCUAGAGUCUGGUAGGGGGAUCUGGAAUUCCUGGUGUAGCGGUGGAAUGCGCAGAUAUCAGGAGGAACACCGGUGGCGAAGGCGGUUCUCUGGGCAUUACCUGACGCUGAGACGCGAAAGCGUGGGGAGCAAACAGG